GCUACGCCAAACAGAUCAAAACCAGGACUGGAGGACUGAAGAUGAAGCCGGCAAAAAGUCACCAGCCACGGCUCUUGUAAGGUAUGCUUCACCUCUCCUGCUAAGUCUUCAUCCCUGUCUAUGAGGACAAAGAAGUUACGGGUUAAAUUGGCGAUGGGCCAGGCGCUCCUUGAGGAUGCUCUAAAGACAUCUCUUUGUCCAAAGACUGCCUCGUGAAAUUGGUCACACAGUCACGCUCUACAGGAAAGUUCCAGGGAAUCUGAUGCCUUCUUCUAACCAUCACGAAGACAAGUUGGUGAUAGAAAAUGGGAGAACUGAAGACAACCACUUUAUAAAACCCUUGCCUGCUUGAAUUUGUGGUGAUGAUGGCAGUUGUGCUCCACAAAAGAUCUUUUGAUUGUUUCCCCCCCCUCCCCGCUUCCUGUGUGAAAAAUUAUCAAGGAGAAUAUAGGUACCAAGGAAGAUUGGUUCGGUGAACUUUGCCUGUCCUCGAAUCGGUUCAGGGAUGGUUUGUUUUGUUUUUUGUUUUUGUUUUUUUGUUUUCUUGUUUUCCUUCUGAAGUCAUUCUGAGUCCUCAUUCUACCCUAGGUUGUAGGCCAUUUCCUUUUCUACAGCUGUUCAUACUCACCCUUUUUAGCUACUUAAUUUUGCUCUUGAUUGUCUAGUCUUAUUCAUUGGUUACAAUUUUCACACAGGAAAGGUAGUCUAGGAGCUUCGAAAGGAAAGCUUUUUUCAUGCAGGGUGAUUGGUAUUGCUGAGGGCUAACAACCCUUGCCUACCGUAUCCUAGAGCCUGGGUUUGCUCCCCAGGACUGAAAUGGGCACUGUUACC
RNAcentral lists this small RNA (831 nucleotides) under Mus musculus (house mouse). Its description in RNAcentral is "mFirre_6". Lineage: Eukaryota; Metazoa; Chordata; Mammalia; Rodentia; Muridae. The record is from RNAcentral.